AAAACUGUUAUGGAUCUGGUGAGAAGAUGGAAACAAGGAAAAGGUUUCUAGUUCAAAAACUGAUUGAAUUAAUAUAAGGAAUGAUUUAGAUAAUAGAGGCGAAGGGAACCAAUCAAAAUAACUGAAGUAUUGACCAGAAGAAAGACGGAAAAAAUAUUGACUGAGAUGGAAAAAAUGAAGAUAUCUUGACACGGUAGAAGUACAAAGGGUAGAUAUGGAACCAAACAAAGACAACAGCAGGCCACAACAAGAUUGGGAAUGGAGAGAAACUAAUUAACAAAGACUGGAGAUUACAACAAAACAGAUGCCGAGAGAAAACUUGAUCCAGUGAAAUUCAAGAGAGUUGACAGCAAAAGGGAGCAAAGAUUAAUAACAAAACAACAGUGACUACAAUGGACAAAAGCAUAUGCGUUUCUUGAUUGAGAAUGAGUGCAAAGAAUGACCUUUUAAGGAGGUUCUGAAGCUGAAGAAUAUAUGAUUUGCUAAAAUUUCAAGAAUGAUAUAAACUCUGUAACUUUAACAAGUGAAGAAUAAAAGAAUAAUGGUUUGUCAUCCUCACAAUGAAGAUCAUCGACGAGAUUAAAAGCUGAAAGUGACCCAUUUGAAAAGCCAAAGUUCAAGUUCCUUGGCUAAGUUCGUAAGUGAAGCAAAGAAUAAUAAAUAAAUAAAGAUCAAGGGAUGGGAAUAAAGUCAUCUUCAGAAAGUUGCAGAAAGAUUUCUGCCGACAUUGUCAAAAUUAUUAUUUGGUAAACCUGAUGUAUUAUUAGUAUAAAACAGAGUAGGUGAAACACGUACUUACUACUUAGUUCAAGUUCCUUGGCUAAGUUCGUAAGUGAAGCAAAGAAUAAUAAAUAAAUAAAGAUCAAGGGAUGGGAAUAAAGUCAUCUUCAGAAAGUUGCAGAAAGAUUUCUGCCGACAUUGUCAAAAUUAUUAUUUGGUAAACCUGAUGUAUUAUUAGUAUAAAACAGAGUAGGUGAAACACGUACUUACUACUUAGAC
RNAcentral lists this long non-coding RNA (999 nucleotides) under Citrus x clementina. RNAcentral's name for it is "Citrus clementina (C. clementina) long non-coding RNA (CCLE_LNC002745)". Lineage: Eukaryota; Viridiplantae; Streptophyta; Magnoliopsida; Sapindales; Rutaceae. The record is from RNAcentral.